CUCUUGCAAAUAAAGAAUAAGAGGUCCCGCCUGCCCUGUGACUAUAAGUUUAACGGCCGCGGUAUUUUGACCGUGCGAAGGUAGCGCAAUCACUUGUCUUUUAAAUGAAGACCUGUAUGAAUGGCAUAACGAGGGCUUAACUGUCUCCUUUUUCAAGUCAAUGAAAUUGAUCUCCCCGUGCAGAAGCGGGGAUAAGACCAU
Molecule: ribosomal RNA, 201 nt
Filed under: Micropterus salmoides (largemouth bass)
Lineage: Eukaryota; Metazoa; Chordata; Actinopteri; Centrarchiformes; Centrarchidae
Description: partial 16S ribosomal RNA
Rfam family: Bacterial large subunit ribosomal RNA
Source: RNAcentral